AACUGAUAAUGGCAAACUUAUUGAAAAAUAAGGACGCAAAGCUAUGGGUCUAAGGUUCACUAUUGAACUAGGAUCGCCAAGCCUCCAAA
Molecule: non-coding RNA, 89 nt
Filed under: Paenibacillus sp. 1_12
Lineage: Bacteria; Bacillati; Bacillota; Bacilli; Caryophanales; Paenibacillaceae
Description: GEMM cis-regulatory element
Rfam family: c-di-GMP-I riboswitch aptamer
About the family: GEMM was predicted in a large-scale screen for bacterial structured RNA regulatory elements. Genes associated with GEMM are involved in a diverse array of functions, including chemotaxis regulation, signal transduction, secretion and chitin.
Source: RNAcentral